Molecule: transfer RNA, 94 nt
Filed under: Streptomyces subrutilus
Lineage: Bacteria; Bacillati; Actinomycetota; Actinomycetes; Kitasatosporales; Streptomycetaceae
Description: tRNA-Trp
Source: RNAcentral
UGUCGAUCUGGACCACCUUGCAGUCCUUCGGGUACCAGUCCCGGUAGGGGAAGUCGGUGCCCAGCAUGAGCAGGGCGUCGCCGCUGUCGAGGGC